This 776-nucleotide ribosomal RNA is filed under the name uncultured Neocallimastigales. RNAcentral describes it as "partial large subunit ribosomal RNA". It matches the Rfam family "Eukaryotic large subunit ribosomal RNA", at positions 23 to 633 of the family's 3401-position model. Lineage: Eukaryota; Fungi; Neocallimastigomycota; Neocallimastigomycetes; Neocallimastigales. The record is from RNAcentral.
AGAGAGAGACAUGCGCGCAUAUCAAUAAGCGGAGGAAAAGAAACUAACAUAGGAUUCCCUUAGUAACGGCGAGUGAAGCGGGAAGAGCUCAAAUUUGAAAUCUUCAAGGUUCUACCUUGACGAAUUGUAGUUUAAAGAAGUGUUUUCUGUUGAAGUUUUGGUAAAAGUUCUUUGGAAUAGGACAUCAUAGAGGGUGAGAAUCCCGUACUUUGACCAUUAUUUCCUGCUGUGUGAUACACUUUCAAAGAGUCGGAUUGUUUGGGAAUGCAGUCCAAAAUGGGUGGUAAAUUUCAUCUAAAGCUAAAUAUUGGCGAGAGACCGAUAGCGAACAAGUACCGUGAGGGAAAGAUGAAAAGAACUUUGAAAAGAGAGUUAAACAGUACGUGAAAUUGUCAAAAGGGAAGCGUUUGACACCAGUGUUGUUUUCUCGAAAAUCAAUUAAAAAUGGCGGGAUUUUGUGUUGUAUUGACUUUAUCAGCUUUCUGCACUUUUUUCCUGUCUUUUUUAAUGCACUUUUCGUUUAACAAGUCAACAUCAAUUUCUUUUGUUGUAAAAGAGUCAUUGGAAGGUGGCUUUCACUUCGGUGAAAGUGUUUAUAGCCUUUGACUUCUGCAAUCGGAGAGAUUGAGGUCUGCAGCGUAGAUCCUUCGGGGUUAGAUACAUUUGUGCUAAGUUAUAGUUUUUCAUAGACAACAUGUUGACUAUGAUUAAUCAUGUAGCUUACUCGCUUAUGCUAUUUUACCUACGCUUAGGAUGUUGACAGCAGUAUAGACUGU